GACGAACGCUGGCGGCGUGCCUAACACAUGCAAGUCGAGCGAUUUACUUCGGUAAAGAGCGGCGGACGGGUGAGUAACGCGUGGGUAACCUGCCCUGUACACACGGAUAACAUACCGAAAGGUAUGCUAAUACGAGAUAACAUGCUUUUAUCGCAUGGUAGAAGUAUCAAAGCUCUGGCGGUACAGGAUGGACCCGCGUCUGAUUAGCUAGUUGGUAAGGUAACGGCUUACCAAGGCGACGAUCAGUAGCCGACCUGAGAGGGUGAUCGGCCACAUUGGAACUGAGACACGGUCCAAACUCCUACGGGAGGCAGCAGUGGGGAAUAUUGCACAAUGGGUGAAAGCCUGAUGCAGCAACGCCGCGUGAGCGAUGAAGGCCUUCGGGUCGUAAAGCUCUGUCCUCAAGGAAGAUAAUGACGGUACUUGAGGAGGAAGCCCCGGCUAACUACGUGCCAGCAGCCGCCGUAA
Molecule: ribosomal RNA, 468 nt
Filed under: uncultured bacterium
Lineage: Bacteria
Description: partial 16S ribosomal RNA
Rfam family: Bacterial small subunit ribosomal RNA
Source: RNAcentral